CGGUAGAACAGUAAGAAGAGAGACAGCUGUGAAGCGUUACCAAAUGCUUCCCCAUUCAUGUUGAUCAAAUAAUCUAGGAUGGCUCCUUAAACAUCUUGCUCACAUAUUUUGUUAAUGUAUAGAAAUACUAAAUUGCUUUGUACAUGCAUCUGCAGAGAGAUCUAAUACUCAAUGUUGCAACAUCUUUGGUGGAGCCUGUGCUGUCAAUCUUUGAACUACUGCUGUGUCCAGUUUUGGAUUUAAAAGUCACCUGUUCUCAUGGUUGUUGAAAGAAAACAAUUAGACACAAGCAUGGUAAUAGAGCCAAGAGUCAAUAACAGUAUCUGGUAUGGACUGCUUGACUGGAUACAAAUGCAAAAGUCAGAAUAAAUUUACCUGAGGCCAGCAUUCCAUAACUAUUGACAACCAGAACUGAAUUAGGUUAAGAGAAAAAAAGGUCAAAAUAGAAGCCUCAAAUGCAUAGAGAAAAAGAUCAACCAUGUCUUUCUUAGAUUCCAAUUUUCAGGGAAUUUGAGAAACAAAUCCAAGUCUUCUAGCUCAAUUUAUCUUCUCCCAAUUAAUCUCUAUAUGAGGGAUGUGAGAAAUUUUGGACCAGUCUUCACCUGUCCCCCGUUGACACCUUUCUCCAAGCAAAGGACAUUCCAUGAUGCACAACAAUGAAAUGGAGGAGGCCAGGCCCUCAUCUGGAAUUGAAGAGAGCUUAGGACAUCCCGAGAUUGUAAGUUGUUUAAGAGACUUGAGGUGUUGAAGGCCCCCACAGUCCAGAGAUUUCAAAUUCUGAAAAUCGUGGAUUUCAAGGGAGGUUAGAGAGGAAGGCAACAAUGUAAUCUCAGGGAAAGAUUCUGCAUUGUGGUCUGAAUGGAUAGAGAGCUGUGAAAGAGAUGGUAGAGUUUGCAAAAUCCAUUGCAAGUGACAAUAGAGUUUGUUGGAACAAUCAAGUUGAAGCAAUUCUAGUUUGGAGGAGAAUCUAUUUGUUUCCAACUGCAGCAAAUCUCCUUGAGAUGCAUAUAGCCAUUCCAGAAUUGGACAAUGAAAAAUGACAAGACGCUUUAACUCCGGGAACAAUUCUAACGAAAAGCACCUAAGCGAAUCGCAGUCGGAGAUCUGAAUUGCUUCUAAAGUAACAGAAAAAACAUGCAUUUGCUCCAACCACUCUAGUACCAAAUCUAGAGAGAUAGAACCACCGACUCUAAGACCAUAGAGUCCAGAAGCCAAUUUCUCAAGUCUCACAUCACGAGAAUCAUCUUCUAUUACCAUAUCAACAAUGGAUGGAGUGGGGGGAAAUGAAACCACUAGCUGCUGACAUCCAUCAAUCUGAAGCUUUGUUAGAGAAGGAAGGUGCGUUGGCAAGGCUUUUGUCAAAAAUGGACAAUUGAAUAUGUGAAGCUCCUGGAGACAAGAGAAAGCUCCCACACAAGGAAUCCAUUCAUACCACUCUGGGAAAUCUGCAAAACUUAAAAUUUCAAGGGAUCGAAAUGGCUUCUCAAUGGAUGUGCAACUUCCACAGAACUCAGGGCCCACAACUUGGACUCUAUCAAAUCCUUCAAUCAGAAGCUCUUUUAGAGACCCUAACUGCCCAAGUGGUGGUAAGGAG
Molecule: unclassified non-coding RNA, 1594 nt
Filed under: Hevea brasiliensis (rubber tree)
Lineage: Eukaryota; Viridiplantae; Streptophyta; Magnoliopsida; Malpighiales; Euphorbiaceae
Source: RNAcentral